GUAUUGGUGUUGGAGGAGUAAUCACCGGUGGUUUUGGUGGUUUCACAAUAGGUGGCUUUGGAUGUGGUUUAACAAUUGGAGGUUUUGGCACAUGAGGUGGAUGUACUAUCGGAGGUUUGGGAUAAUGAGGAGGUUUUGGAACAUGUGGUGGAUGAACUUUUGGUGGUUUAACAAUUGGUGGUUUUGGCACAUGAGGUGGAUGAACUAUUGGAGGUUUGUGAUAAUGAGGAGGUUUUGGAACAUGUGGUGGUUUUGGUGAUGAUGAUGGAGGUGGUGGCUUAGGAGGAUACUUUGGUGGUAUGUGAAUUGGUGUUAUAGGAGAAUGCGAU
RNAcentral lists this long non-coding RNA (329 nucleotides) under Trifolium pratense (red clover). Its description in RNAcentral is "long non-coding RNA (TPRA_LNC013547)". The record is from RNAcentral. Lineage: Eukaryota; Viridiplantae; Streptophyta; Magnoliopsida; Fabales; Fabaceae.